AGGGCCACUGAAGGAGGAAACCAAGUCCCCUGGAGGAAUGGUCCAGGCAUGGCUGUCACCCUGAACUCCAUGGCUCCCAGGUGUGCCUCAGGAAGACACCCCUUUUUCGUACAGCUUUGUGUUUUCAUGCCGCUGUUUCAAGAUUGCUCUCCUGUCAGAAGUGUGUUGCCUCUGCCCACCCUCUGGGCUCCGGCCCCCCCUUCUUCCUCUCCUGAACCACCAUAAAGCACAGAAAAAGCAAUUGAAUUGCUUGGUGAACAACAGAAAAGGAGAAUUUAAAAGUUCAUUUGCAUGCAUAAACACAUCUAGUGGGCCAGUCUAUUCCAGAUAUGCAAGACAGAGCACCCUCUGUAGAGGUUCUUUGGACAGAGGAUUUCAUGUGCCAUCAGGAGCAUGGAUGGUAAAUGGCUCCUGUGGAUCCUGGUCAAACCUGCGCUACCAGCCUGAGCUCUGGAGAAGAUGCAGAUGUGCCCCCUGGAGGCCAUGGCUUGGGCUACCACGGAGACCUCAUUUCAAGCCCACAGGCAUGGGCAUCCAAGCUGCAUUCUCAUUGUGAACCUGCCCGUGUAGCAAGGACCCUUUCUUCUCUGGGCUAUUUUUAGAUGUAAUAUGUUACCACACUCCACUUGUCUGCUA
Molecule: non-coding RNA, 636 nt
Organism: Peromyscus maniculatus bairdii (prairie deer mouse)
Lineage: Eukaryota; Metazoa; Chordata; Mammalia; Rodentia; Cricetidae
Source: RefSeq, a predicted model, not a curated record